RNAcentral lists this ribosomal RNA (1521 nucleotides) under metagenome. Its description in RNAcentral is "bacterial SSU rRNA". It matches the Rfam family "Bacterial small subunit ribosomal RNA". The record is from RNAcentral.
AGAGUUUGAUCAUGGCUCAGAACGAACGCUGGCGGCGUGCCUAACACAUGCAAGUCGAGCGUGAAAGUACUUCGGUAUGAGUAAAGCGGCGCACGGGUGAGCAACACAUAGAUAACCUUCCCCUUAGCGUGGAAUAACCAACCGAAAGGUUGGCUAAUACCGCAUACGAUCAGCGGACAUGAGUUCGUUGAUGAAAGGUGGCUUCGGCUUCCACUUAGGGAUGGGUCUAUGCCCGAUUAGCUAGUUGGUGGGGUAAUGGCCUACCAAGGCGACGAUCGGUAGCUGGUCUGAGAGGACGACCAGCCACACUGGAACUGAAACACGGUCCAGACUCCUACGGGAGGCAGCAGUGGGGAAUAUUGCGCAAUGGGGGAAACCCUGACGCAGCGACGCCGCGUGAGUGACGAAGGCCUUCGGGUUGUAAAGCUCUGUCAGCAGGGAAGAAAUUCCAGGUGCUAAUAUCACCUGGCGAUGACGGUACCUGCAGAGGAAGCACCGGCUAACCCUGUGCCAGCAGCCGCGGUAAUACAGGGGGUGCGAGCGUUGUUUGGAAUUACUGGGCGUAAAGCGCGUGUAGGCGGUCUACUAAGUCAGAUGUGAAAGCCUGGGGCUUAACUCCAGAAGUGCAUUUGAAACUAUUAGGCUAGAGUGAUGUAGAGGAUGGCGGAAUACCCAGUGUAGAGGUGAAAUUCGUAGAGAUUGGGUAGAACACCGGUGGCGAAGGCGGCCAUCUGGGCAUUAACUGACGCUGAGACGCGAAAGCGUGGGGAGCAAACAGGAUUAGAUACCCUGGUAGUCCACGCCCUAAACGAUGGAUACUCGCUGUAGCUGGUAUUGACCCCGGCUGUAGCUUAGUUAACGCGUUAAGUAUCCCGCCUGGGAAGUACGGUCGCAAGAUUAAAACUCAAAGGAAUUGACGGGGACCCGCACAAGCGGUGGAUUAUGUGGUUUAAUUCGAAGCAACGCGCAAAACCUUACCUAGCCUUGACUUGCCUCUGAAUCCUAGUGGAAACACUUGGAGUGCCUUCGGGCACGGAGGACACAGGUGCUGCAUGGCUGUCGUCAGCUCGUGUCGUGAGAUGUUCGGUUAAGUCCGGCAACGAGCGCAACCCCUGUCUUUAGUUGCCAGCAUUAAGUUGAGCACUCUAGAGAGACUGCCGAUGUUAAAUCGGAGGAAGGUGGGGAUGACGUCAAGUCCUCAUGGCCCUUACGGCUAGGGCUACACACGUAAUACAAUGGAUGUCACAAAGAGAUGCGAACUUGCAAAAGGGAGCCAACCUCAAAAAAGCAUCCUCAGUUCGGAUAGGAGGCUGCAACUCGACUCCUUGAAGCUGGAAUCGCUAGUAAUCGCGGAUCAGCAUGCCGCGGUGAAUACGUUCCCGGGUCUUGUACACACCGCCCGUCACACCACGAAAGCUGGUUUCACCAGACGCCGUUGAGCUAACCGUAAGGAGGCAGACGUCCAAGGUGAAGUCGGUGAUUGGGGUGAAGUCGUAACAAGGUAACCGUACUAGUACGAUC